Molecule: ribosomal RNA, 429 nt
Filed under: uncultured prokaryote
Also listed under: 1 other name
Description: bacterial SSU rRNA
Rfam family: Bacterial small subunit ribosomal RNA
Source: RNAcentral
UGGGGAAUCUUGCGCAAUGCGCGAAAGCGUGACGCAGCAACGCCGCGUGGGGGAAGACGGCCUUCGGGUUGUAAACCCCUUUCAGGAGGGACGAAGGUUCACCGGUGAAUAGCCGUGUGGAUUGACGGUACCUCCACAAGAAGCACCGGCUAACUACGUGCCAGCAGCCGCGGUAAUACGUAGGGUGCAAGCGUUGUCCGGAAUCAUUGGGCGUAAAGCGCGCGUAGGUGGCUUCGUAAGUCCGUUGUGAAAGUCAAAGGCUCAACCUUUGAACGCCGAUGGAUACUGCGGAGCUAGAGUACGGAAGAGGCGAGUGGAAUUCCUGGUGUAGCGGUGGAAUGCGCAGAUAUCAGGAGGAACACCAAUAGCGAAGGCAGCUCGCUGGGACGUUACUGACACUAAGGCGCGAAAGCGUGGGGAGCGAACAGG